GGGAAUAUAGCUCAGUGGUAGAGCACUUGCCCCACAUACAUGAGGUCCUGGGUUCAAUCCCUAGGACCACCA
Molecule: transfer RNA, 72 nt
Filed under: Cricetulus griseus (Chinese hamster)
Lineage: Eukaryota; Metazoa; Chordata; Mammalia; Rodentia; Cricetidae
Rfam family: tRNA
About the family: Transfer RNA (tRNA) molecules are approximately 80 nucleotides in length.
Source: Rfam by way of RNAcentral